RNAcentral lists this small nuclear RNA (304 nucleotides) under Prolemur simus (greater bamboo lemur). RNAcentral describes it as "7SK RNA (ENSPSMG00000010789.1)". It matches the Rfam family "7SK RNA". From Rfam's summary of the family: 7SK was discovered as an abundant small nuclear RNA in the mid-70s but a possible function has only recently been suggested. Two independent studies have found that 7SK RNA binds the CDK9/cyclin T complex (known as elongation factor P-TEFb). The record is from Rfam by way of RNAcentral. Lineage: Eukaryota; Metazoa; Chordata; Mammalia; Primates; Lemuridae.
GGAUGUGAGGGCAAUCUGGCUGCAAUACCGGAUCACCAGGGUUGAUUCGGCUGAUCUGGCUGGCUAGGUCGGUGUCCCCUUCCUCCCUCACAGCUCCACGUGUGGCCCUCCCGAAGCUGCACACUUGGUCGAAAAGGACAACCUUCCCAGACAGAGAAGGACCGUUUUUCCGUCAAGGAUAUACGAGUAGCUGCGCUCCCCUGCUAGAACCUCCAAACAAGCUCUCAAAAAGGACACAUUAAGUUUAAGAACCACUAGUGAGAGGCAGACAUAUAUAGAUGGAAUUGAAUACAAGGGAACCUAU